RNAcentral lists this ribosomal RNA (468 nucleotides) under uncultured bacterium. RNAcentral's name for it is "partial 16S ribosomal RNA". It matches the Rfam family "Bacterial small subunit ribosomal RNA", at positions 28 to 507 of the family's 1533-position model. The record is from RNAcentral.
GACGAACGCUGGCGGCGUGCUUAACACAUGCAAGUCGAACGGAAAGGCCCUGCUUUUGUGGUGUGCUCGAUUGGGGAACGGGUGAGUAACACGUGAGUAACCUGCCCUUGUCUUUGGGAUAACUUCAGGAGACUGGGGCUAAUACCGGAUAGGAGCUCCUGCUGCAUGGUGGGGGUUGGAAAGUUUCGGCGGUUGGGGAUGGACUGGCGGCUUAUCAGCUUGUUGGUGGGGUAGUGGCUUACCAAGGCUUUGACGGGUAGCCGGCCUGAGAGGGUGACCGGGCACAUUGGGACUGAGAUACGGACCAGACUCCUACGGGAGGCAGCAGUGGGGAGUAUUACACAGUGGGCGGGAGCGUGAUGCAGCAGCGCCGCGGGCGGGAAGACGGCCUUCGGGUUAUAAACCGCUUUGGCCUGUGACGAAGCGUGAGUGACGGUAAUGAGUAAAGAAGCACCGGCUAACUACGUG